GACGAACGCUGGCGGCGUGCUUAACACAUGCAAGUCGAACGGAAAGGCCCCUUUGGGGGUCCUCGAGUGGCGAACGGGUGAGUAACACGUGAGUAACCUGCCCUUGACUUCGGGAUAACUUCAGGAAACUGGGGCUAAUACCGGAUAGGAAUACUUGCUGCAUGGUGGGGGUUGGAAAGCUUCGGCGGUUUUGGAUGGACUCGCGGCUUAUCAGCUUGCUGGUGGGGUAGUGGCUUACCAAGGCUUUGACGGGUAGCCGGCCUGAGAGGGCGACCGGCCACAUUGGGACUGAGAUACGGCCCAGACUCCUACGGGAGGCAGCAGUGGGGAAUAUUGCACAAUGGGCGGAAGCCUGAUGCAGCAACGCCGCGUGCGGGAUGACGGCCUUCGGGUUGUAAACCGCUUUCAGCAGGGGCGAAGCUUGUGGUGACGGUACCUGCAGAAGAAGCACCGGCUAACUACGUG
RNAcentral lists this ribosomal RNA (465 nucleotides) under uncultured bacterium. RNAcentral's name for it is "partial 16S ribosomal RNA". It matches the Rfam family "Bacterial small subunit ribosomal RNA", at positions 28 to 507 of the family's 1533-position model. The record is from RNAcentral.